AUACGUAGGGGACAAGUGUUAUCCGGAUUUACUGGGUGUAAAGGGAGCGCAGACGGCAGUGCAAGUCUGAAGUGGAAGCCCGGGGCUCGACCCCGGGACUGCUUUGGAAACUGUUCUGCUAGAGUACUGGAAGGGCAAGCGGAAUUCCUGGUGUAGCGGUGAAAUGCGUAGAUAUCAGGAGGAACACCGGUGGCGAAGGCGGCUUGCUGGACAGCAACUGACGUUGAGGCUCGAGAGCGUGGGGAGCAAACAGGAUUAGAUACCCUGGUAGUCCACGCUGUAAACGAUGAAUACUAGGUGUUGGGAGACUAAGUCUUUCAGUGCCGUCGCAAACGCAGUAAGUAUUCCACCUGGGGAGUACGUUCGCAAGAAUGAAACUCAAAGGAAUUGACGGGG
Molecule: ribosomal RNA, 396 nt
Filed under: uncultured bacterium
Lineage: Bacteria
Description: partial 16S ribosomal RNA
Rfam family: Bacterial small subunit ribosomal RNA
Source: RNAcentral